Molecule: long non-coding RNA, 731 nt
Organism: Elaeis guineensis (African oil palm)
Lineage: Eukaryota; Viridiplantae; Streptophyta; Magnoliopsida; Arecales; Arecaceae
Source: RefSeq, a predicted model, not a curated record
GCCUGUCGAAGUGUCGGAUGUUUUACAGGGUGGGGAGUGGGGAGCGCGCGAUGUCUUCUUCCAAGGACCUUCCGAGCCCCGACGGCGGCGGCACUGGCGAGGGAGUGUGGUCAUGGCCUUCCACGACGGCGGCGGGGAGAGAAUCCAGAAGGAGAUCCUGGAGCUCAACGCCGACUGCCCCACCGGCCCAAGGGCAACAAACUCUACCAUUGGGGAAGUGCAUGGCUGGCCUGCAGUCCUUUGUUCACUUGAAUCGCUUUUUUUCAACCCAAAAAGAAAAAUCCUAUGUGGAUUCUACCCAAUCAGCCAUCAAUUCCUUGUGCCAACGUGGGCAUGUGUGCAUGAGGAACUGAUACGAUGAGGGCAAUGGAUCAAAACCGGUAACAUUAAUCAUUACCCAGUUUUGAUCCUGGCAAUCCAGGAUUCUGGGAGGAGUGGACUGCAAACAAAUCUACUCUUUGGUCUUUUUUGCAUAAAAUGACCGUCUCAAGACUUGAAUCCAUGCUAUCACACUUAUUAAUCCAAGACAUUUACUUUUGUACAAAGCAGUCAUCCCUUUCCAUAGCAUUGCUCUUUAAAGCAUGGUGUGUGAGCAUUCUAACAUUAAAGAGCAUUGGUAAAUUCUUAUUCUUGUGACUACAAAUUGUUAUUUCUGUACAAAAGGAUUCUAAUGUAUUUAUUCUGCAACAACGCUGAUGAAUUUUACACAAUGAAAAGCUCGAUCCAUGGAU